Molecule: ribosomal RNA, 253 nt
Filed under: uncultured bacterium
Lineage: Bacteria
Description: partial 16S ribosomal RNA
Rfam family: Archaeal small subunit ribosomal RNA
Source: RNAcentral
UACCAGCACCCCGAGUGGUCGGGACGAUUAUUGGGCCUAAAGCAUCCGUAGCCGGUCUUGCAAGUCUUCCGUUAAAUCCACCUGCUUAACAGAUGGGCUGCGGAUGAUACUACAAGACUAGGAGGCGGGAGAGGCAAGCGGUACUCAGUGGGUAGGGGUAAAAUCCUCUGAUCCAUUGAAGACCACCAGUGGCGAAGGCGGCUUGCCAGAACGCGCUCGACGGUGAGGGAUGAAAGCUGGGGGAGCAAACCGG